CCCAGGGCUUUCGCCCUGGGCUGGUAUAGGCCGCGCCUUCAGCGCU
Molecule: small RNA, 46 nt
Organism: Granulicella tundricola MP5ACTX9
Lineage: Bacteria; Pseudomonadati; Acidobacteriota; Terriglobia; Terriglobales; Acidobacteriaceae
Rfam family: Acido-Lenti-1 RNA
Source: Rfam